RNAcentral lists this long non-coding RNA (987 nucleotides) under Fukomys damarensis (Damara mole-rat). RNAcentral's name for it is "lncRNA (ENSFDAG00000025367.1)". The record is from RNAcentral. Lineage: Eukaryota; Metazoa; Chordata; Mammalia; Rodentia; Bathyergidae.
GGUACCAAAAAAACAAAACAAAACAAAAUAAAAUAUACAACUAAUGGUAUUCUUAAUAGAUUCACAUGUUUUCAUAUAUUAAAAUACUUGUUUAUGGAAAUACCAUUUUUUCAUUAAUUAUUUAUUUACUUAUUUAGACAGAAUCUCAUACGUUGUCCAGGUUGACCUUGAACUUGAGAUCCUCAUUCCCCAGCCUCCCGAAUAACUGUGGCUAAAGGUAUGCAUCACUGCACCCAGCUUUAUUUACCUUUUCCAAAAUACUUCAGUAUUUUGCCUUUGUAACUUAGAAAAUCUUUUUUUUUUUAAAUUUAUAUGAGUGUUUUUCUUCUCUUUCACCAAAAGCUAAAUUUAGUUCUAUGUUAUGUCACAAACGGUCUUUUUUGGUAUAAAACAUUUAUAUUUUGGAGGGCUAUAAAGACUUCUUGUCCUUUAAGCCUUGUUGACAAAAGUUUUUGUCAAUUGUUUUCUACUGUCCCUCAUAUUAGAUGGCCAGCAAUAAGCAAAAAUAAAGCUGAGACUGUGUUGAAAAAAUGCCCUGGCCCCCAUCCAUCCUUUUUCUGCAGGGUGUAGUCCAGAGUGUUCCCCAUUCAGCGCCUGUGCCAGCCAGCAGAAACAGCCAGUUGUUGUCUGAAAUGAAGAAUGAAUGGAAACACGGUGCCUGUUCCUUUUCCUCUUGCACCCUCACAGAAGACGCAGAUUCUGGACAAAAUGAGGAACGUGGCCAGAAGAGAGUCCUGUCUUUCCAGUGUAAUGCAUUACCACCAUGAUGUCAGGGGUGAAGAAGAGCCAAGAAUAAUACUACUUGGGAAGGUGAAUAGGGCACAACAUAAUGAGUCUGAGGAGAUGCAAUCCCAGGGCGAUGACAGUGAGAAAAAAAGAGAAGAGAAUGCAAGAUGGAGGCACUGCCAGAGAGAGACAACAGUACGUGCACAUGGCCAUAUGGAAUACCACCUUGCAUGCCAUAUGGCAAAAACAUAUCUUAGGUAA